This 492-nucleotide ribosomal RNA is filed under the name uncultured bacterium. Its description in RNAcentral is "partial 16S ribosomal RNA". It matches the Rfam family "Bacterial small subunit ribosomal RNA", at positions 29 to 507 of the family's 1533-position model. The record is from RNAcentral.
AGUGAACGCUGGCGGUAGGCCUAACACAUGCAAGUCGAACGGCAGCACAGUAAGAGCUUGCUCUUACGGGUGGCGAGUGGCGGACGGGUGAGGAAUACAUCGGAAUCUACUUUUUCGUGGGGGAUAACGUAGGGAAACUUACGCUAAUACCGCAUACGACCUACGGGUGAAAGCAGGGGAUCUUCGGACCUUGCGCAAUUGAAUGAGCCGAUGUCGGAUUAGCUAGUUGGCGGGGUAAAGGCCCACCAAGGCGACGAUCCGUAGCUGGUCUGAGAGGAUGAUCAGCCACACUGGAACUGAGACACGGUCCAGACUCCUACGGGAGGCAGCAGUGGGGAAUAUUGGACAAUGGGCGCAAGCCUGAUCCAGCCAUACCGCGUGGGUGAAGAAGGCCUUCGGGUUGUAAAGCCCUUUUGUUGGGAAAGAAAAGCAGCAGGUGAAUACCCCGCUGUUCUGACGGUACCCAAAGAAUAAGCACCGGCUAACUUCGUG